Molecule: ribosomal RNA, 229 nt
Filed under: uncultured bacterium
Lineage: Bacteria
Description: partial 16S ribosomal RNA
Rfam family: Bacterial small subunit ribosomal RNA
Source: RNAcentral
UGCGUAGGCGGAUUAAUAAGUCAGUGGUGAAAUCUCUCGGCUCAACCGGGAAACUGCCAUUGAUGCUGUUAAUCUUGAGUUCGGUUGAGGUAGGCGGAAUGUGUAAUGUAGCGGUGAAAUGCUUAGAUAUUACACAGAACACCAAUUGCGUAGGCAGCUUACUAGACCGACACUGACGCUGAGGCACGAAAGCGUGGGUAGCGAACAGGAUUAGAUACCCUGGUAGUCC